RNAcentral lists this ribosomal RNA (490 nucleotides) under uncultured bacterium. RNAcentral describes it as "partial 16S ribosomal RNA". It matches the Rfam family "Bacterial small subunit ribosomal RNA", at positions 30 to 507 of the family's 1533-position model. The record is from RNAcentral.
AUUGAACGCUGGCGGCAGGCCUAACACAUGCAAGUCGAACGGUAACAGGAAGCAGCUUGCUGCUUUGCUGACGAGUGGCGGACGGGUGAGUAAUGUCUGGGAAACUGCCGGAUGGAGGGGGAUAACUACUGGAAACGGUAGCUAAUACCGCAUAACGUCGCAAGACCAAAGAGGGGGACCUUAGGGCCUCUUGCCAUCGGAUGUGCCCAGAUGGGAUUAGCUAGUAGGUGGGGUAACGGCUCACCUAGGCGACGAUCCCUAGCUGGUCUGAGAGGAUGACCAGCCACACUGGAACUGAGACACGGUCCAGACUCCUACGGGAGGCAGCAGUGGGGAAUAUUGCACAAUGGGCGCAAGCCUGAUGCAGCCAUGCCGCGUGUAUGAAGAAGGCCUUCGGGUUGUAAAGUACUUUCAGCGGGGAGGAAGGGAGUAAAGUUAAUACCUUUGCUCAUUGACGUUACCCGCAGAAGAAGCACCGGCUAACUCCGUG